RNAcentral lists this ribosomal RNA (301 nucleotides) under uncultured bacterium. RNAcentral's name for it is "partial 16S ribosomal RNA". It matches the Rfam family "Bacterial small subunit ribosomal RNA", at positions 509 to 807 of the family's 1533-position model. The record is from RNAcentral.
CAGUCGCCGCGGUAAUACGUAGGUCCCGAGCGUUGUCCGGAUUUAUUGGGCGUAAAGGGUACGUAGGCGGAUUCUUAAGUCAGGGGUGAAAUCCCGAGGCUCAACCUCGGAACUGCCUUUGAUACUGGGGAUCUUGAGUCCGGAAGAGGUGAGUGGAACUGCGAGUGUAGAGGUGAAAUUCGUAGAUAUUCGCAAGAACACCGGUGGCGAAGGCGGCUCACUGGUCCGGAACUGACGCUGAGGCACGACAGCGUGGGGAGCGAACAGGAUUAGAUACCCCCGUAGUCCCUGUCUCUUAUAC